Molecule: long non-coding RNA, 688 nt
Organism: Alosa alosa (allis shad)
Lineage: Eukaryota; Metazoa; Chordata; Actinopteri; Clupeiformes; Clupeidae
Exons: 3
Source: RefSeq, a predicted model, not a curated record
UCGCGGGAAAAUAAGCUAACUUUAGGUUAUACUUUGAUCUAUUUUUAUGUUUCUUAAGUGUAACGCUAUUGUAUUGCUGUUUGACAGUAGUGAAAUCAACUGUAAACUAGCUCAUAUUUGCGAGUUAUUUAGCUAAUGCUAUUGUAUUGCUGUUUGACAGUAGUGAAAUCAACUGUAAACUAGCUCAUAUUUGCAAGUUAUUUAGCUAAUGCUACUGUAUUGCUGUUUGACAGUAGUGAAAUCAACCGUAAACUAGCUCAUAUGCUAGUGGAAACAUCAUAUAAGUAUAACUGCAGCAGAAGUGUAUUCUUCCUGCCACUCUCAGAGUAGCACUUCCAUUGUCAAAAGCAAUCCUCAGCCAAAAGCUAUAUUUUCUGAAAAACGACUCUUGGAUAUCACCUUGUCGUGGGAAACAGCAGAUCACCACCCUCCAGCUAACAACAACUCUCCACCGAUCAAGGCCUCAACGGAAAAGACCACCUUCAGCAUUCACUCCGCAUUACUCCCGGCAGAGACAGGUGUCUUGUCCUACUAACACCCCACUCAUGGCCUGCACCUUGAUGUGGUUGACAGGCCUCAAUGGACAGUGAGACAGUGAUAUACCUUUGGACUGGCACCGACUGAAACUUGAUUUCUCAUGAAUAUCUUUACAAGAUGCAACACACAUUGUGCAACACUUUAGACACUA